RNAcentral lists this ribosomal RNA (465 nucleotides) under uncultured bacterium. Its description in RNAcentral is "partial 16S ribosomal RNA". It matches the Rfam family "Bacterial small subunit ribosomal RNA", at positions 28 to 504 of the family's 1533-position model. The record is from RNAcentral.
GACGAACGCUGGCGGCGCGCCUAACACAUGCAAGUCGAACGGAGCUGAGAGAAGCUUGCUUUUCUUAGCUUAGUGGCGAACGGGUGAGUAACGCGUGAGUAACCUGCCCUGGAGUGGGGGACAACAGUUGGAAACGACUGCUAAUACCGCAUAAGCCCACGAUCCGGCAUCGGAUUGAGGGAAAAGGAUUUAUUCGCUUCAGGAUGGACUCGCGUCCAAUUAGCUAGUUGGUGAGGUAACGGCCCACCAAGGCGACGAUUGGUAGCCGGACUGAGAGGUUGAACGGCCACAUUGGGACUGAGACACGGCCCAGACUCCUACGGGAGGCAGCAGUGGGGGAUAUUGCACAAUGGGGGAAACCCUGAUGCAGCGACGCCGCGUGGAGGAAGAAGGUUUUCGGAUUGUAAACUCCUGUCGUUAGGGACGAUAAUGACGGUACCUAACAAGAAAGCACCGGCUAACUAC